UACGGAGGGUGCAAGCGUUAUCCGGAAUCACUGGGUUUAAAGGGUGCGUAGGCGGCCAUGUAAGUCAGUUGUGAAAUACCCCGGCUUAACCGGUGGAAGGGCGAUUGAUACUGCGUGGCUUGAAUCAGGUUGAGGCAGGCGGAAUGUGGCAUGUAGCGGUGAAAUGCUUAGAUAUGCCAUAGAACACCGAUUGCGAAGGCAGCUUGCUGGGCUUCGAUUGACGCUGAGGCACGAAAGCGUGGGGAGCAAACAGG
This 254-nucleotide ribosomal RNA is filed under the name uncultured bacterium. RNAcentral describes it as "partial 16S ribosomal RNA". It matches the Rfam family "Bacterial small subunit ribosomal RNA", at positions 524 to 776 of the family's 1533-position model. The record is from RNAcentral.